UAUAAAUUUACUUUAUGGAACCAAAGCUAGUUCUUUUAUGGAAUGCCGUACGUCACAAAUUACGUCAUCAUGCGACUUAGAAAGCAGAAAGAAAGAAAGAAAGAGCAGAAUGUUUUCAACUCCAUAUUUUCUGUAUAAUUUGCUGGUUAUAAGCAGAUCUAUGCACGGCACUCCAUUAUACCACACUGAUAGCUUCUCAAAGAUUAUAAAUAUGAUACAUGUAAGCAGGCACAGUUACUUGUCAUCACAAGGAUCAGAUUUCAAGUACCAGAGAGUCCUAACUCCUAAUUUUCCCAAUUUGUCAAAAGUACAUCUAGUGACACAAGAGAAGAAUGUGGAGUAAAUGCCAAUAAAGGCUCGACUGCAGGGGUAUACCUGACUUCUCGGCAAUUUCUGGUUAUCACCAUCCGAAUGACCGAUUCAGAGGAGAAGACCAACUUCAAGGUGACUCUUAUGCAUUGAGAUCUUUCGCUGAUGGACUCAAAUUGUUCAGGAAAAAAUCCAGCUACCACAGCCACAGAUUUCUGGCGUGUGUUCAGAAGGAACAUAGAUGCAAUGAUGAAACAAUCUCCAGACAGAUGGGUGGCCCUUGAGCAGAGAAUGUUAAAAAGAAUUGAAGCAUUCAAUAAAGAAGAUUAAGAAACAGAAUGUGUCCAGUUGUUUGUUCAUCAAAAGAAUAACUUGGAUAAUCAUAGUGGUGCUUCCUCAAAAUCUGCAUGUGUUAAAAUUAAGCAGUUUCAAAUUAAGAUUUAGAUAAAGCUCAUUAAGUCAUUUGCUGGAUCAGAUUUUGAGAUUGUACUUAUUGCAUUUUUUUGAAUACAGUAACAGUGAAACGUUGAUGAUUAGUUGUACAAAUUCAUAUACAGAUCUAAGUAUUA
Molecule: long non-coding RNA, 878 nt
Organism: Saccostrea cuccullata (small rock oyster)
Lineage: Eukaryota; Metazoa; Mollusca; Bivalvia; Ostreida; Ostreidae
Exons: 6
Source: RefSeq, a predicted model, not a curated record